RNAcentral lists this ribosomal RNA (522 nucleotides) under Limosilactobacillus reuteri. RNAcentral's name for it is "bacterial SSU rRNA". It matches the Rfam family "Bacterial small subunit ribosomal RNA", at positions 49 to 526 of the family's 1533-position model. Lineage: Bacteria; Bacillati; Bacillota; Bacilli; Lactobacillales; Lactobacillaceae. The record is from RNAcentral.
UAAUACAUGCAAGUCGUACGCACUGGCCCAACUGAUUGAUGGUGCUUGCACCUGAUUGACGAUGGAUCACCAGUGAGUGGCGGACGGGUGAGUAACACGUAGGUAACCUGCCCCGGAGCGGGGGAUAACAUUUGGAAACAGAUGCUAAUACCGCAUAACAACAAAAGCCACAUGGCUUUUGUUUGAAAGAUGGCUUUGGCUAUCACUCUGGGAUGGACCUGCGGUGCAUUAGCUAGUUGGUAAGGUAACGGCUUACCAAGGCGAUGAUGCAUAGCCGAGUUGAGAGACUGAUCGGCCACAAUGGAACUGAGACACGGUCCAUACUCCUACGGGAGGCAGCAGUAGGGAAUCUUCCACAAUGGGCGCAAGCCUGAUGGAGCAACACCGCGUGAGUGAAGAAGGGUUUCGGCUCGUAAAGCUCUGUUGUUGGAGAAGAACGUGCGUGAGAGUAACUGUUCACGCAGUGACGGUAUCCAACCAGAAAGUCACGGCUAACUAACGUGCCAGCAGCCGCGGUAAUAC